AGGACGAACGCUGGCGGCGUGCUUAACACAUGCAAGUCGAGUGGAAAGGCCCUUCGGGGUACUCGAGCGGCGAACGGGUGAGUAACACGUGAGCAAUCUGCCCUUAGCUUCGGGAUAGCUCCGGGAAACCGGAAUUAAUACCGAAUACGACCCCGGCCGACAUCGGCUGUGGUGGAAAGUUUUUCGGCUAGGGAUGAGCUCGCGGCCUAUCAGCUUGUUGGUGGGUAACGGCCUACCAAGGCGACGACGGGUAG
This 254-nucleotide ribosomal RNA is filed under the name uncultured bacterium. Its description in RNAcentral is "partial small subunit ribosomal RNA". It matches the Rfam family "Bacterial small subunit ribosomal RNA", at positions 26 to 286 of the family's 1533-position model. The record is from RNAcentral.